GGACACGCUCGCCUCCCACCAGCCCCCAGGCCCACGCCCCCCAGGUACCUCUCUCAGAUGGAAUCCUCUUCGCAGGCGCCCUGGUCCUCCGUGUCCGGCGAGCAGGAAGAGCGGGAGCUGAAGGACGGCCUCCUCAGGCUAGCGGCCGUGGCUGUGGAGGGCCCGGGCUGCUGUGCCCAGCGGGGACGCGGAGCGGCGUCCACGGACGCCGGGGGAACGGACGAGCCCGGCCCGGGAGAGAGCAGCACAGCGCGGCCGGACUCCGCCGGGCUCGGCUCUGGGCAGGCAGGCGCGGCUCGCCGACGCCUCCCACGCCUCCCAGGACGGCGGCCCAGCAGCCGCGCGCUCCUCUCCUCUCCUCUCCUCGCGCGCGCGCGCCGCCGCCCAGACGCUGCCCGGCCGUUGCCCCGCCCCCCCCUCCGGCGGUGGACUGCGGACAGCGACGGGGACACCCUCCUGGGAGAACUCCUGCGGCCCCGCCCACACGCUUCGGACCUUCGCGCAGCGGGAAGGUGCGCUGACAGGGACGCAGGGUCCCCGCUACGCUCGCUCUCGGGGAACUGCAGCCUCCUCCCUCGGCUUUCACUUGAAUGUCAGACCCGAAACCAUGCAACGUCUACAAGCAAACAUAGGCAGUGUGCUCUUUGACAUCAGUCUUAGCAGCCUAUUUUCAAGUACCACGUCUGACUGGGCAAGGGAAACAAAAUACAAAAUGAACAAACGGGACUACAUCAAAGUCAAAAAACAUCCUCUGCACCGCAAAGGAAACCAUCCACAAAACCAAAACACAACCUAACAACUGGGAGAAGAUUCUUGCAAACCGUAUAUCGGAUAAGGGGUUAAUAUCCAAAACACAGAAAGAACUCAUACAUCUCAACAGCAAAAAAAAUCAACAACCCAAUUGAAAAGGCGGGCAAAAGAUCUGAGCAGUGAUUUCUCCAAAGAAGGUAUACGGAUGGCCAACAGGCAUAUGGAAAGGGACUCAACAUCCUUAGCGAUCAGAGAAAUGCAAAUCACAACUACAAGGAGAUGUCACCUUACUCUGGUCAGAAUGGCUCUAAUUAACAAGACAAGAGACAAGUGUCGGAGAGGAUGUGCAGAGAAGGGAACUCUCCUGCACUGCUGGUGGGAGGGCAGACUGGUGCAGCCACUAUGGAAAGCAGUAUGGAGUAUCCUCAGAAAACUAAGAACACAUCUACCAUAUGUAGAUCCAGCUAGCCCACUGCUGGCUAUUCAUCCAAAGAACUUGAAAACACCAAUGCAGAAAGACACAUGCACCCCUGGGUUCACUGCAGCAUUAUUCACAACAGCCAAAACUUGGAAGCAACCUAGGUGCCCAUCAAGGGAAGAAUGGAUAAAGAAGAUGUGGUAUGUAUACACAAUGGAAUGCCACUCGGCCCUAAGAAAUGAUGAGAUCCGCCCAUUUGUGACAACUUCGAUGGACCUUGAGGGUAUUAUGUGAAGUGAAAUAAAUCAGAGGGACAAAGUCAAACACCGUGUGAUCUCACUCAUAAGGAGAAGAUAAAAACAACGACAAACGCGCACAGAGCAAAGGAGAUUGCAUUGGUGGUUACCAUAGGGGAGGGGGGAGGGGAGAGAGCCAAAGGGGCGAUGAGGCUCACAUGUGAGGUGACGGACUAUCAUUAGUUUUCGGGUGGUGAACACGAUGUAAUCUACACAGAAUUCAAAAUAUAUUACAACGUACAUCUGAAAGCUAUAUCAUCUUAGGAUCCACUGUUACUGCAAUAAAAUAAAAUAAAAUAAAAUAAAAUAAAAAAGUGUAGGAGCCUCAAGAGGCUAACAGGCUUUUGAAAAGUUAUUCCAGGGAAUUUUAUGGCUUAGCUCAGGGCGGCAGACACCAGCCUGAGACACAGCUGUGACACAGCCACUAACUUCAACUCAACUAUAUUCCGACUGGAGGGAAAUCAAAACUACUGUCAUCAUAAUUGAUUGAAGGCUGCACUUUGUGCCAGAUCCUGUGCCGACUGCUUUGCACCAACUGUCUCAUUUAAUCCUCACAUCCAAAAGGUAGGUUACCGUUAUUCUCCCCAUUGUCAAGGUGAGGAGGCGGAAGCAGAAAGAUGGCAAUCUGCCUGGAAUUCACAGAAGGAUUCUCUAGGUAAUGACAUGACUUUUGGACAAGAUUUCAAGGUUUAACACAUUACAGUGCAGAUGCAGAUCCCAGUAUCACAGAACGUGAAAAACACUGAGUCCCGCCAAAUGUAUUAAAACACUAACUAUGGAGCCUCACAAUCUCUUGGCCUGUUUUCUCAGAUGAGGGAAAGCCCAGCGUGAAAAACCGUUGAUGAGAUGUCUGCAGAGGCGGACUACGUCUGGUCUUUAAAGCCGGGAACUAUCCCAGUAGAUUCUGAGUCAGUGGGUCCAGAGUAGGCCUUGAGCGUCUCUGUUCUUUUCCAAAGCCCCACAGGCUACACUUCCGUGCCCUUGGAGUUGGGAAUACAGUCAUGCCCUACAUCGGGACGUUUCAGUCAACAACGGGGGUCCCAUCAGAUUAGUCCCACAUGGCCUAGGUGUGUAGGAGCCUCAAGAGGCUAACAGGCUUUUGAAAAGUUAUUCCAGGGAUUUUUAUGGCUUAGCUCAGGGCGGCAGACACCAGCCUGAGACACAGCUGUGGCACAGCUACUGACUUCAACUAAACUGUAUUCCGACUGGAGGGAAAUCAAAACUACUGCAAUCAUAAUUUCUUGAAGGCUUCACUUUGUGCCAGAUCCUGUGCCGACUGCUUUGCACCAACUGUCUCAUUUAAUCCUCACAUCCAAAAGGCAGGUUACCGUUAUUCUCCCCAUUGUCAAGGUGAGGAGGCGGAAGCAGAAAGAUGGCAAUCUGCCUGGAAUUCACAGAAGGAUUCUCUAGGUAAUGACAUGACUUUUGGACAAGAUUUCAAGGUUUAACGCAUUACAGUGCAGACGCAGAUCCCAGUAUCACAGAACGUGAAAAACACUGAGUCCUGCCAAAUGUCUUAAAACACUAAUUAUGGAUCCUCACAAUCUCUUGGCCUGUUUUCUCAGAUGAGGGAAAACCCAGCGUGAAAAACCGUUGAUGAGAUGUCUGCAGAGGAGGACUACGUCUGGUCUUUAAAGCCGGGACCUAUCCCAGUAGAUUCUGAGUCAGUGGGUCCAGAGUAGGCCUUGAGCGUCUCUGUUCUUUUCCAAAGCCCCACAGGCUACACUUCCGUGCCCUUGGAGUUGGGAAGUACAGUCAUGCCCUACAUCGGGACGUUUCAGUCAACAACGGGGGUCCCAUCAGAUUAGUCCCAUAUGGCCUAGG
Molecule: long non-coding RNA, 3288 nt
Filed under: Equus caballus (horse)
Lineage: Eukaryota; Metazoa; Chordata; Mammalia; Perissodactyla; Equidae
Description: lncRNA (ENSECAG00000056624.1)
Source: RNAcentral